GAGUGAACCGCGUCAAUUUUCA
RNAcentral lists this microRNA (22 nucleotides) under Drosophila mojavensis. Its description in RNAcentral is "Dmo-Mir-9701_5p (mature (guide))". The record is from RNAcentral. Lineage: Eukaryota; Metazoa; Arthropoda; Insecta; Diptera; Drosophilidae.